UACGAACCGGACAAACGUUAUUCGGAAUUAUUGGGCUUAAAGGGUGCGUAGGCGGUGCGGUAAGUGCGGUGUGAAAUCCCACGGCUCAACCGUGGAAUUGCGCUGCAUACUGCCGUGCUAGAGGGAGACAGGGGUAAGCGGAACUGAUGGUGGAGCGGUGAAAUGCGUUGAUAUCAUCAGGAACACCAGUGGCGAAAGCG
RNAcentral lists this ribosomal RNA (200 nucleotides) under uncultured bacterium. RNAcentral describes it as "partial 16S ribosomal RNA". It matches the Rfam family "Bacterial small subunit ribosomal RNA", at positions 524 to 723 of the family's 1533-position model. The record is from RNAcentral.